AUUGUUCUGCGCACACAAUUCAGCAAAAAGGAGAAAAAACACAGACAUGACCAUGGCAAUGGCAAUGGGGAGCACACUUAUCAUUCUCGUCCUUCUGAUUUCCGCCGUCGAAGCUGGCAGCAAUUCGUCGACCGAGGGCGUUUACUCGGAGCUCCUUGCAGGAGGACGGUGUACCGGAAAAGUGGGAGAGUGCAAUGUACAAGAGACGGAAUGGGUUGUGGACUCUGAAAUCACCCGGAGAUUACUGAAAAGAAAAGAUAGAUAUAUUAGUAGCAUCGCUGUAAGAAAUAGUGGUAGUAGUGUAUUGAAGAGUAAACGAACACAUUCUUAUACAUGUGCCGGAACUUACAGAUGUAAACCCCAUCAUUAGAUCUGUAAUUCAAAUUUCGACAUGAUUCAUCUACAAUUAAAAUUGACAGACUGAUUCUCUGUGACACANNNNNNNNNNNNNNNNNNNNNNNNNNNNNNNNNNNNNNNNNNNNNNNNNNNNNNNNNNNNNNNNNNNNNNNNNNNNNNNNNNNNNNNNNNNNNNNNNNNNCAAACUUGAUAAUUGAUACCUGUCAGAGCUUCACCUUCCCGCUGGGCAUUGUUGCCUGUACUCGACGGAAGAAGGUCGUUUAGAGGUUUGAUUGGAGACAUACGUCAAAUUAAUAUUACUAUUGUUUGCGACAUAAAAUCUAUAGGUCUGUUUAAUCACUGUAAUGAUGAUUUUUUUUAGAAUUGAUAAAAAAGUUAAUGUGUUAAAGAGAUUGGAAAAGUUAAUAACGAGGUCUGUUUUUAAUUUUAUUCAUAGAUUUCUUGAUAAAAUCUUAAUCGGGUAGAGAUAGAUCCGCGUAAAUAUCGACCAAUAAUUUACAUAAAAAAGUUGCAGUCUUGCAGAGCUAAUGCCAUACUUUGUUCGUAGUUUGCAGAGCUUAAAUCUCUGAUCUUUAUCCUCCUCUCGACUUCUCCUCCCUCUUCUUCCGUCGAAAACGAAAAGGGUAAGUAAAUAAUCUCUUUUCCUUCUUCUUCUUGGGUUUUAGUUUUUUCUUACUGUUUAUACAAUCGAUUUCGUGUUCUUGGAUUGUUUCUUGUUUUAAUUUAAACCCAAUUCCACUCUCGGUUGGCAUACGCUAAUUUAUCCCAUCUUCUUUUUCGAUGAAUGGAAUGUGGGUUUGGGCACUUCUUUCCACCCUUUACUAUUGAUCUUCUGAUUCUUUUGAUCUGGCUGGUUCUCAUGUACGCUCUUUCUUGGGUUGUGGUGGAUGAUUGAUGUUAUUUUCUUUUCUUUUUUAAAAGUAGUCAACUAUUUCCCUCUUUUGAUAAUUAGUCUAGAACCCUAAAUCUUAGUUACAGCCAUAAACCCUAGUAAUUUGCAUUAUUUUUAAAUUUUGUGGCAUCUUCUUCUAUACGUGUGUUGUUUUGAUUUUAAGAGAUGGGUGUCAAUUACCAAAGAUCAUUGAAGAUUUAUUGCAAAUUACAUCCAAGUUGGUCAGGAUUUUGGUCAAUUGUUUUUAGGAUUUUGGUCAAUUGUUUUUAGGAUUUUGGUUUCAGCUAUGUGGUGACCAGGCAAGAAAAAUUUGUGUUUUGUUUUUCCUUAUCUUCUAACAGUCUUUAUUCUCCCCCCCCCAUACAUUAGUUUCUAUGUUUCAAAGUCUUAUUUUUUUGGGCAGAAACUAAAACCCCUACACUAGUUGGGAAGUUUAUAGAGGUUGGCUGAAAAAUGUCUGAGAUCGAACAAGAUACCCAAUUGGCGACCUCGUCUAAGAAAGAUGCCAAUGUUUCACCACCAUCGAAAAUGGUGUUUCUUCCUAACUCUCGUCGGAAUAAGAUACUUCCUCCUCCAAUCAAACUUCAUGAUCAGGAAGAAGAGAAACAGGGGAUGAAUCCUAACAACAUGUGGCAGGUACAUUCCAUUUUAAACACACAAGUAUGUAGACUGUUUUCAUGGACUCUCUUAGUUUACGAGGUCGAGGAUGGUUUUACCCUUUUUGAUCCUCAACUCAUUUCGCAAACUGAACUUUAAUAUCAUGUGAAUAUUAGUCACCACCAGCAUGUUAUAAAUUCAAAUCGAAUUACAAGCUAGCAUUGAUUUUUUUAUAAAUUUCUCCAGGUUUUAGGGGAGUCGGGUUUGGUUCGGGUUAAACUCGAACCCGACCCAAAAAAAUCGGGUAAAAAAUACUCGGGUUCGAAAAUAUCGACCCAAACCCGGAACGACAUGUUCGGAUUUGACCCGACCCAUGCCCACCCCUAAUUACAUAAAUAACUUCCAAAUUGCAAAAAAUAAUUAAAAAAAAGAGGUUAAAUGUCAUAUCCUAUUUUCUUAAUGCACCAAAUUAUCACCACCACACAUAUCUCUCUACCUCCUCCUCAUUGUCACUUAUGAUAAUAUGGUCGACAAGAAGACGACAAUCGUGGCGUUCACCGUAACCCUAACCCUAAAUAUGAUCAACUACCUAAAGAUGCUUGUUUUAUCUUUAGUAAGAUCCUAGUCACUUCGAUGUCGAUUAAAUCCAUUUUUCUAAAGUUAUCUGUACAUGUUUUUUCAUUUAUUUUUCUUCAAAAAAAAUUUCAGUUAAAAAAUUAAUUUCAAAAAAGGAUUAUCUGAACUUAGGUUUAUCAAUUUAUUUUCAUUAUUUUAUUUUUAAAACUGACAUAGAAAGACAUUCAAUUGUUCAAAAAAAAUUACCACUAUAAUAGUAUUCAAAUUUUUUUCUUUCAGGAAUUUAUAGAUCUAGGUAACGAGAGUUGUACCUUGAUAUUGUUUGGAAAAGAAUUUAAUAACAACAAUGGUUUGAAAAGUAGUCAAAGACAAGUUUCAAUUGACAAUUGACAAAGGAAUUGUAGAGAAAAACUAAUUCUCUUUUUCAUAGAUUGCAUGAAGCAUGGUCAACAAGAUCAACGGUUGCGUAUUCUUUCAAAAGGUUCUCAUAAAGAAAUUACAUGUUAUAAGAAAUAUAUUACCAAUGGAUUUAGAUUUCAUUUGCAAAGUGAAGACAAAAACAAAACGUCACAAAACUGUGGUGUCAUGGUUCGUGGGACUUGUCUUAUAGAGAUAAUGGAAAUAAUUAUUAUGAAGUUCUUCAGGAAAUUCUCGAACUUGAAUUUCUGGGUGAUGAUACUUGAGUUUCGAUGUUUAACUGUAUUUGGUAUGAUAUUCACAAAGGAAUCAAAAUAGAUAAAUUCAAAACAGUGUCAAUUGACACACAUUCUAAACAAAAAACAUAUGAGCCGUUCAUUUUUUCUUGACAAUCUGAACAAGUUUGUUACAUACCGAAUGUAUCCGGAAAGUCAACCGAUUGGUAUACGGCGCUUAGAACAAAAGCUCGAGAUGUCAUUGACGUUUCAGAAAAAGAUUUAGAUAUAUAUCAAGACGAUUUUAAUGCAUUUGAUGUGAAUGUAAUCAACGAUGUCACGAUUGAUGAUGUAUCGUUGAGUGUAAAUGAUGUUCUUGAAGAAACAAAUGUCGAUAAUGAUAUUGAAUUAGAUAAUGUAGAUAUCGAAUCCGAUAAUGAAUUUAUAAGUGACGAAGAAGGAUUUUAGUGUGAUUGUAAGUUAGUUCAAAAUGUGAUGAUUUUUUAUGUUAUGUUUUUUUAUUGUUAUAGUUAAUAGAAUUAUGUCAUGAUUUUUUCCAGAAAUGGCACGUGGACAAGGACGUAAGCAUGGUCAAAUACGUGGACAACGACAAUCCGUCGACAAUGAAGUGGAAUCAGUUCGUCGGUGUACUAGAAAAUUUACAAAAAGAAUUCCAUAACCUUCAACACCAUUUCCUGGAGUAGUUUUUCAAUCUGGGUAUGUAGUUUAUUUCAAAAUUAAAUAAUUAUUUACUUUCUUUUCAUUAGAUUAAUUGAACUUACAAAAUAACUUACAGAACAUUUCCAAAUGAUAUACGAAAGCAAAUUGGUUGCUUGGUUAAAAGAUUUAUUUCAGGGGCAGAAUUCACAUGGGCUCAAUGGAGCGAUGAGGAUAAAGAUAUAAUUUGGGAAUUUUUUUUGGUAUGUUAUGUGAUUGUAUGUCUUUUAUGUGUUAAAUUUAUUUGAUUAUUUGAGAAAUAACUCGACAAUUUUUUUUGUGUAAAUUUUUUUAAAAUUUGAUGACCAAAACCGUGCUCGGAUUGCAUUCAAUCAGUACCUAACUAUUAAUUAUCUUAAAUUGCUUAGCAAAGCGAGAAAGAAUGCAAAAAACAGUGCUGGUGUCUCUGAACUUGAUGAGACUUGCAAAAAUUUCCCUCCAACAUACAUUACAAAAGAAAAAUGGGGAUUAAUGAUGGACAAGUUUUUGGCACCAGAGUGGAUCGGCUUUUUUUGAAGCCAACUUUCAUGCAUUAGUAAGUUUAAAUAUUAAAUUCAUUUCAAUUUAUAUAUUUUAUGAAUUUUUUAAACUAAUUUUUAUCGUAUAGAGUAUAAAAUUAGGUCGAAGACCUUCAUUUCAAGAGGCAUUUUUGUCAACUCAUACGCCAUUAAAUGAUAGAGGAAAAACUAUGAUGGUGAGUAAUCAUUUAUUAAUAUUUCAUAAUAUAUUUAUAUAUUUUUAAUUGUUUUAUAUUUGACUUUGGUAAAGGCUGAAUAUGAAAAUUUGAAUGAAGAGCUUCGAAGACAAGAAGAUAAUGAUUCUGAUUCUGAUGAAGAUAGCAAAGACGAAAAUUUAUUGUCUCAAGGUUCAACUUCAUUUCAUAAUAAGUGUCUUUUUAAAAACGAUCAUAUUGAACCUUGACUCAAAGCAUCAAAAGAAAAGAAAAAUGGUCGUAUUCUGGGAUUUAGAGUUGGCAAUAACUCGAUGUUAUCAAAUAAAAAGAGAAGAAAAAUGAGCAAUGAGAAAACUAAGAAGCAUAACACUGAAGAAUUUGAAUUGACAGUUUCCUAAACCGUUGAAAAAAGAAUGGAAGCGUUGGAAAUACAACACGAAAAACGUCUUCAAAUGAUGGAACAACAGUUAUUUGAAAAUAUUCAUGUGAGUUUAAUAAAUGUUUUUAAAUAAGUUUCUCAAUUAAUUAAUUUUUGAAUAUCUUCAUUUAUUUUCAGACUAAGUCUACAAGCAACGACCCCAAUCGUCCAUCAUCUAGUAAUGUUUCUACUAUUCCUGCUUCAUCUGAGUUGAACCAAAUUAUAUAUAUUUUCCUUUAUCGAGAAAUUAUUGGUGAUAAGGGUGAAACCCGACCAGUGCUCCAAGACGCUCCAACAAGCGUCAGGCGGGGAACUCCACGGGAAAUCGGACCGAAACUCAAGUGCGCAGAGCUUUGCUUCGUUAGGACUUCUCCACUCCAAAUGACCUGCCUUUAAUGAAUGGGGGUUGCCUCCUAUUUAUAAGGAUUUUUAUGGGGGUAAUCUGGUCAUUUGGGCAGUAACCGCCUAACUGAUCAGAUCGGGUCCCAAAGUCGACUUUCCAGAGAUCGACUUUCUUGGGAUCGACUUUUCUCAAAAGUCGAUUCCAGGGAAGUCGAUCCUUAGGAAAGUCGAUCUUCCUAGGAUUCGACUUGAGACCUCCCAAUCCCAGAAUAGGUACCUCAACUCAUCUCAGGCUAUCCGGACUUCUAGUUUCUGAUAAGUUGUGACCGGGUUCAGGAUACUGUAUCACCAAGAAAAAUAUAAUACUUUCAAAUCGACACCUCGAUCAAAGGGUAAGACUUUAGACAUUUCUAAUAUUGUUCAACAAAAAAAAUUGUAUAACACUUUUAACUCUAAUCAAAACAUCAUUUUUAUAACAUAUGAAUGUUGAAUCAAUAUGUAUUCCUUUUUUUGGUUAAUCUAAUUUGAUUUAUAGUAAAUGUGUGUGAUUGAAUAUGUGUGAUUAAAUGUAUAUUAUUUUCAGGUAUGAAUUGAGAUAUGUAAGGCUCUAAAUGAGCACCCAUUUAAAAUAAACUAUUUUUUUUAUUGUAUAAUAUUUUAGCGACGAUAUAGCAACGAUUAAACGACGAUUAGUUGAAACAGAUAACAUUAAAAUUUAAUAAAAGCGACGAUUUAACGACGAUUAGUUGAGACAGGGAACAUUAAAAUUUAAUAAAAACGACGAUUUAGAGACGAUGUAGCGAUGAUGUUUUUCAAAUAUUAGUGAUGAUUCAGCGAUAAUGAUAUUUUUAGGCACCAAAAAAAAACCCGCGCGUGGCCAUAUGUCAGCGACGAUGCUUCAUCGUCUCUUUUUUUUAGCGUCGAUGACCAAUAUCGUCGCUCAUUUUUCAGCGACGCGACCUACAACGAAACGAAGCUUUAGCGUCGAUCAAAAAUCGUUGCUGAAAGCAAUUUAGCGACGAUUUUCGACUUUUAGCGACGAUUGAUCGUGGCUGAAACGCAGGAAUCCUGUAGUGUCUUCUCUUAAUAAUGAUUUAGGUUAUCUGUUAACUAAAAUCAGUUGUGUAACUGAUUUUCCAGAGUUUUCACAAGAUGCGACCUCAUUGUGGGAAUUGAGGCUGAAUAUAUUAUGGAUGGAGGUGACUCACCGUCUAAAUAUAUUUUAGGUUGAAUAAAGACAAUUGUUUGAAGACCAUGAGCCCAAUCAAGAACUAUAUAUGCUAAAUAUUAUUCAAGAACUCUCCAAAAUUUGAACAUGUCAUUCUCAAUUUCUCAUGAUUCUUCAUUACAUUUCAUUAAUUACAAUUUACAAGCAUAUAUACAUAAAUAUUAUAUAUGUUUACCAAUGUAUACUUUUAAUUGCUGAAAGAGUUGUAUUAAUGUGUGGUAUACACAUCUUAAUGAUAUGAGGACUGUCAUAGAUAUUUAAACUUUCAAGUUUGGUAAACAUUCUUGGAAUAUAUGAUAGACGCAAAUUAUGGCAAUUCCAAAUUUCAAGUGUUGUUAGGGAAGGAAAAGAACAUCGGUCGAUUUCACACCAUUCCACCCAAUUUCCCAUAUCAUUAAAAAACAGCUUCUUCAACGAGAUAAACGAAGAAUUUGGCGGAUUUUCAACCGAAUUCCCCCCAUUAUAGAACUCAGCUCCGAUUCGUUUAAUAUUUUUGAGAUAAUAUAUGUUCAAUUCUUUGAGAGACACCAACUGCCCCAAUGGUGGAAGAAUUUCACAACUGAAGCAAUGAUCCAAUGCUACAUGAGUGAGCAUUGCGAAUUCCGAACAACCCAUCCAAUCUGGAAACUUAAGUCCACAAUAGAAACUUAUCUCUAAUUUGACAAGAUUGUUACAUGGUCUGAGAUUGUUCAGGACAUUGAUUUCAGAAACAUAUAAUUCAUCGAUAAAUUUCCAUGUUAAAUUUAGCUCUCUAAGAUACUGCUUCUCAAACAAAUUUAUCGUAUUUUUCUCUUCAGAUAAGUAUUCAUGCUCAAUCUCAUUCAAUGCUAAAGAACCACUGAGUUUUGAUAAGUUUUCCAAUUCUGACAAUCCUCCACAACCCUCUUCUUCAUUUGACAUAGAUAAUUUUGGUAAUGUUUGAAGUUGAAUCAAUUCUCCAAAUCCAACAGGAAUAUACACAAAAUUGACACAAAUGAUGUGUAGUAGAUUUCUUAAUUUCCGAAUAUUUUCAGGUAACUCCACCAACCAAUCACAAUGUAAUGUCUGAAGAUUGUAAAGAUUACAAACUGAUUCAGGCAAGCAUUCUACAUUAGGUGUAUCCAAUUUAAGAAAACGUAAGUGUUUUAAUUCACCAAUAGAAUCUGGUAUAUGUGUUGCAACAUCAUUUGCCCAUAUAAAUACCCUCAAAUAUUUCAGACUCAGAUGAAGGCUUUCAAUUUCUAUCUGAUUAGGAGAUGGGUACAAAGAGUGAUGGAAUGUUCUUCCAGCAAUGGGCUCAAUGCAACAAAACUUAUCUUGUAUUAUUCCACAAGACUGUUAGAGAUCAACAAAUUUUCUUCUCUCAGUAUGUGUUGUGCUAGAUCAUGCAUUAGAUCAUGCAACACAUAUUUCAAUUCUCCAAAAUUAUCGUACUUUGUUUGGAGAAACGAUCUAUUGAACAAGCCAUCGACACAUUCACCUAAUGGUAUAUAUUCUAAGAUACCAUGCGCGCCCCAUAAAUGUACCAAAUCGUCUCGACUAAAUAGAUGAUCUUUGGGAAAAACUGAGCAAUACAAAAAACACCGCUUCAAAGAAGUUGGGAGAUUAAUGUAGCUCAAAUUUAAGGUUUCGAAGAUUGUAUUUUCGCCAUUUUUACCCAUGAUUUCCAUUGUAUUUUUUGCGAGUACCUCCCGCCACCGUUCUUCAUCUCCGUUUGCAUCCCUCAAAAGGUUUCCAAGAACCUUGAUAAUCAAUGGCAAGCCUUUACAUUUCUCUACGAUCAUCCUUCCGAUACAUGUCAAUACUUGAUUGUCCUCAUGGACGGAGCCAUAUAAUGCAUGAUUUCUAAACAACUCCCAUCCAAAAUUGAAUUGUAAAGGUCCCAAAUUGAAAUCCAGUGAUCUAUGCAUUGUUCGAGCUACAACUUUGCUUCUUGUAGUCACUAGAAUUUUACUGCCUGAAGAACCCAAGUUAUGCAGAAAACCUAAUGUAUCUGAAACAUGUUGGAUUUCGCUCCAAACAUCAUCUAACACCAACAAAAAUACUUUCCCCUCUAAUUCAUUUUGUAAUUCUUCUUGGAUAACACUGAAAACAGUGAGAUCACAUCCUUCUCCCGUCAAAGAAAUCAAAGUAUCUUUACUGAUCUUAUCGAUCUGAAAAUCAUCUGACACACAAACCCAAGCUUUACAAUCAAAAUACGAAGAUAUAUUUUCAUCUUUGUAUAUUUCUUGGGCAAUACUUGUCUUUCCAACACCUCCCAUUCCCACUAUGUUGAUUAUUGUCACAUUUGUCUCUUCUUGGUUUUGUUGAUCAUUAGGUUGAAUUAACAUAUCCACUAUAUGUUUCAUAUCUUCAUCUCUGCCAUACAUCAAAUGUUCUUCAUUCAGUGGGUUGCUUGGUGGUCUUAAUUGAACAUAAGUUUUCUUCUCAAAAUCGUUUUUCGAAAGAUCGAGUUCUCGCUCUUUAUUGAUAUUUUCAAAGUCGGCCUCCAUUUCAUUCAAAUUCUUUAAGAUGUAGUUUAAGAAUGAUGUUGAUAUUGUUGAAUGUUCUUGUUGCUCUUGAACAUGUUGAUAAUUAUACUCUUCAAUAAGAUCCUCAGCUUUAGCAGCAAAUAAUUUUAAUUGGUAAAGCCAAUACUUUGUCGCUUUUUUUUCGAUCACCCAAUUUUCUUCUGCAUCAUAUAGUAAAUGGUUUAUUAUGUUCCAGCGAAAUCUCAAUUUAUCCACGCCAUCAUUUAUUUUCUUUUGCAAUUUCUGAUCCACCAUGAUUUCCUUUUGACCUUAAGAAAAUAAAAUAAAAACAAUAUUUUUAAUUCAAAAGAAGUAAAUUAUGCAAUAUGCUGCAAAUUUAAAUCUUACUUAUUUAUAAUGGAAAAUAUUCAGGUGUGCUAUCAUAUUUACGCUGUUGUGCGGCAAAAACAUCCACAACACUCAAUUGACAUCUAACGAUCUUAAUUAUGUUAUUUAUUUAAAAUUAACUUACGUACGAUGUCCAAUUAUGUUAUGCACUUAAAACUAACUUACGUACGACAUUUAAAAAAAUAUUAAACAUCCAAUGGUGGAUAUCAAAACGGCGCAUAUAACGCAUUUACAUAAGGUGCACAUGAAGUGCGUCCUAUUUAUAAUAAUUCUUAUAUAUAUGCACCGAUAUUAUUGGAACUCAUUCCAUUGAACUAAACAUAUGGUUCUAAAGUAUAAUUUGUAGUAGAAGAAAACAGCUCAAACCAUAAAUAAAAUACUUCUGAAGAUUUUUUGUCACCUAGUCAGGGGUGUGAGCAAAAUACCUCUAAAGAACUUUAAAACAUCUGGUCGGAGGAGUUGUAAGAAAAUUAUCCCUAAAGAUUUUGUGUCACCUAGUCGGGGGUGUAAUUGCAAAAUACCUCUGAAGAAUUUAAGAAUAUCUGGUCAGGGUAGUGUAGGCAAAAUACCCUUGAAAAAAUUAAGAAUACCUGGUCAGGGGAGCAAAAUACCCUUGAAGAUUUUUGAACACUUGGUCGAGGGGUGUAAGCAAAAUAACCCUGAAGAUUUUGUAACACCUAGGCAUGCCAAUCGGACAUAAUUCAAGGGUAUUUUGCUUAUACCCCUAUAUCUGAAUUCGAAUUCGUUUAGUAUCCAGAUAAUCCGAAUUCGUUCGAUUAUUAUUCGAAUUCGGUUCGCGAAUAACAUUUACAAAAAAAUAAAAAAAUAAAAUUUUAUUUUUUAAAAUAAAAAACCCAUGUAAUAUUUUAAACACAACAUUUUAACAUAUAAAUCCAGUAUAGAUUAUAUUAUAUUAGAAAAUGUAAAAAAUAGAAAAUUAUUAUAUAUUUAUAAUACUUAUAAUUCGGAUAAUUAUAAUACUUAUUAUCUUAAAUUUAUCCGAAUUCGUUUAGGUGUAUUCGAAUUUGAAUUCGUUUAGCUUCAAAUAUAUCCAAAUUCGAUUAAACUUAAACGAAUUCAAAUAUGAAUUUCGGAUAUCCAUUGACACACUUAGUAAUACCUUGUUAGAAGGUGUAAGCAAAAUACCCCUGAAGAUUGAAAACUUCACCAAGUUAAGGGGUGUGAGCAAAAUACACCUAAUAAGAAAUUUCACACCAAUUCAGGGGUUGUAAGCAAAAUACCCCUAGUAGGCAUCACAAAUAACUAGUGGUGACACGAGAUCCGUUUGGAUCGAUCGCACCAACGGUAAGAAAUAAAUUCCACCGUUUGGAGACGGUAGCAGAAGGGAUACUGGUGGUGAUACGAGAUCUAUUAAGAUCACAUCACUAGUAAGUGCAAAAAAUUUCUAAAGCGCCAAAAAUAGUAGCAGAAGGAGUACUAGCUAGGAGUGAUACGGGACCUCCUUGAGCUGUCGUAUCACCAAUAAGAGAUAUAUUUUUGAAAGAUCCUGAUGGUACCCCCAAUCCAUCAGCCCAGGCCCACGAAGGAGUCCAGAAGCAAGGCUCAGCGAAGUGAACAAAAGAGGAAGAUCCAAGUCGCCUCACGGGCACUCGCCCGACCGGGCCGACCGGACGGACCCGUCAGCCCAAACGGUUAUCUCUCCAAAGGUUGCGCCCCAAGUAUGUCGGGUCCUUUAGACCGGAUCCUAGUCCGAAAGCGUAGGGUCUAGAGUCCGGUAGAAAAUUGUAUAAAUACCCCUAAGGGUGAAAUGUAAAAGGGGGGAGAAAAACAAUUGUUAUUAUACUUGUAAUAUACGAGAUCAGUCACCUUUCUAGAGGGACGCGAUCAGUGGUGAACCUGACGUGAAAUGGAUUCAGAACAACUAGAGCGGAUAAUUCAGAUGGAGGAAAACUUAGAAAUCUCGGUGGUAGAAGCGCGCGAAAAUCGACUACCAGCCGUUCCUUUGGAAAAUCAAGUUGCAGACGAACCGACGCACUUGGAAGAGAAUAUCGAAGAGGCGCCCUAUCACCCUCAACAGCAAACGUGUGAGGACCCUCGGCUAUUUGUAGGGUCAAUGCCAGAGGAUGGUAUUUCUGCAAGUUGGUCGGAGCAAAGCCGGUCGAGAUCACCGGAGCAAUACAGAGGUGACCAGAGGGAAUAUGGGAGAACAUUUCCCAUGCCACGGGGAUCAAGGGAGAGUCAAUUCCUAACAGUCAUCUCAGAUUUACAAAAUAAUCAAAGGCAACUUCAAGAGCGAAUUAUGUCAUUAACAAACAGGAAUAUACACGGAAAUAUGCCCAUACGGCCGUCGGUUAGAUAUCUGAUUUAACCGACGCCAACGGAUAGUGAGGAGGCUCUAGCGCGACAUCUUUUAGUGGAGGGGUACCCGACGGGGUGGAGGGCCCCAAAAAUGACAUUAUAUGAUGGUACGACGGAUCCGGAAGAUCAUGUUCACUCAUUCCGUACGGAAAUGGAGGACACUACAGGGCGAAGAGACAUUUGGUGUCGCAUGUUCAGAAAAACGUUGAAAGGAGAGGCAGUGGGGUGGUACAGAAACCUCCCCGUGGGAAUCAUUAAUUCAUUCAAAGACCUGGAAAAAGUGUUCAAAAUUGCCUUCGGGCAUAAAAUAAGGCGGAAGGGAUUAAAUACAACUUUGUUAACAGUCGUACAAGGAGACCGAGAGUCAACACGGGAAUAUAUGGAUCGAUUUGCGGUUGCAGUUCAAAAAGUCGUUUGUUCAGAAGAAGGAGUCCUGAUGACACUAGUUAAUGGACUAAGGCCAACUAGAUUCUCAGGCGAUUUAGUACGAAAUCUUCCAUCAACAUUUGCAGAAGCUAUGGAAAGAUCGUAUAGGAAGUCAAACGUGGAGGACUACCAUGAGACAAAAUACAAACAAAUACGUCAAAGGCCAAAAGGCCAGUACGACCAGAAUAUACAGCAAAAGCAGCCAAGACUGAAAACCCGGCCACAAAAUAGAGAGGUACCGGAGGGUAGCGCAUGAGGGGGCACUUUCCCAAGGGAAUGUUUCACUAAUUAUGGUCCGCCAAGGGUUACCCCACUUCCAAACCAACGACAGGUAUUUUUGGCACUAAGGGAUGAUCGGAUGCUUCCAGAGCCGCGUCCAAUGCGUACGGAAACAACGGUUCAUCGAAAUCCACAUUUGUAUUGUGAAUAUCAUGAGAACAUAGGACAUACUACGGCCUAGUGCUAGAUUUUGGCAAGAGAACUUGAGAAAAUGCAGGGACGGCAAGGCUCACUACCCGCACGACAAAGGAUACCUUCUCCUCCACCACGACGGGCAGUACCGGCACCCACAGGACAUCAAGACCAUAGGGACGAUCAGGGAGGAAGGAAUAUAGGCGAAAUAUUGGCGAUAUCAGGUGGAGAGGCAGCCAGAGGAGGAACAAGAUUCGAAGGAAAAAGGUAUGCACAGGAUCUUAGCCGGACGGAUGGAAUUAAAAAAAUCAAAGCAUGGGAAGACAUUCGUUUUUCGAAUGAAGAUCUGACAGGAAUCACAGUCCCACAUCACGACCCGCUGGUUAUAACACCUAUUGUACAAAGGGAGGAUAAACAAAAAAUUAGAUUGAACAGAGUACUAGUGGAUACAGGGGCUUCAGUGGAUGUGCUGUACUGGAGUGCAUUUGAUCAACUUGGAUUUUGCAGGGCAGACUUAGGUCCGUGCGGCACACCGGUUACGAGAUUUGGCCAAGGAAAAGUCCAAAUAUUAGGGACAAUAGAUAUCCCGGUAACAUUGGGAAGGUUUGCGCAGGAAACAACAGUGAUAGUAAAAUUUUCGGUGGUGCCAUUUUCAUCCGGGUAUAACGCAAUACUAGGCAGGAUAGCAUUACAUGCAUUUGGAGCGGUAACAUCAUCCCUGCACCAGUGUUUAAAAUUUCCAUCAGAAGCAUGGAUAUGCACAGUUAAAGGGUCACAGAAAAAAGCAAGAGAAUGUUAUAUAAAUUCGACGGGGCAAGUAAUGACUGCAGCAGGGGGAAAAAAUAGACUCCCAUAUACAAUUAGGGAGGAACGCCCAAAACUCGAGCCUGCUUCGGACACAGUUGCAAUAGAACUAAGUGGUGGCAGUGUACAAAAAGGGGCCGGCCUCCCGCAAGAAAUAAAAAAUGGUAUUAUAAAGCUACUCAAAGAGAACGAUGACUUGUUCGCCAGGGAUGUAGCAGAACUUAAAGGGGUUGUGCGGAGCCUUGCGGAACAUAGAUUAGCGGUAGGAAAACAUGUGCGGCCAGUGAGGCAGAAAAUAAGGUCGUUACGAGGAGACAGGAAAGAGGCGGCGGCUGAGGAAGUACGAAAACUUAUCGAGGCAAAUUUCAUUAGGCCAGUGAAAUACCCGGAAUGGUUGUCAAACGUAGUAAUGGUAAAAAAAGCAGAUGGAGGAUGGAGAAUGUGUGUAGACUUCACCAAUGUAAAUAAAGCUUGCCCUAAGGAUUCGUAUCCACUCCCAUCGGUGGACCACUUAGUAGACCAAGCGUCGGGGUGUGAAUUGCUCUGUUUCAUGGAUGCACACUCAGGCUACAAUCAGAUACCUAUGGCCAGGAAGGAUGAGGAAAAGACAUCUUUUAUAUCAGAAUCAGGUACCUUUUGUUUCAAAGUAAUGCUUUUCGGAUUACGUAACGCAGGAGCAACUUUCCAGAGGGCUAUGGACCAAAUAUUUAAACAUCAAAUCGGAAGGAAUCUUGAGGUAUAUGUGGAUGAUAUCCUAGUUUGUUCCAAGACAGUUGCAGAGCACUUAGCAGAUCUAAAGGGGACUUUUGAUAGUAUUAGGAAGGCGGGCUUACGAUUGAAGGCAAAAAAAUGCUCCUUCGGGGUCACCGAAGGGCAUUUUUUGGGUUUCAAAAUAAUUCCCAACGGGAUAAAGGCCCGUACGGAAAAAAUCGAGGCUAUAAUGGCAAUGACUCCGCCAAGGACAAUAAAAGAAGUCCAGAAACUUAAUGGAAAAGUAAACGCAUUGAGUCAAUUCUUAACAAGGUGGGCAGACACAUUACAACCUUUAUUCAAAUUAAUAAAAUCAUCAAGUCCAAGAGUGACAUGGACGGAAGAAUGCGAGGAAGCGUUUCAAAGACUUAAGGAACAAUUAAGGAAUCUGCCAACUUUGCAGCCACCUUUCUCAGGAGAACCAUUAAAAUUGUACAUAGCCGCGUCCGAUAAUGCUACCAGUGCAGUUUUAAUGACUGAAAGAGAUGGCACACAACGACCAAUUUAUUACUAUUCCCGCACUUUACAGGGGGCAGAGAAAAGGUAUCCAAAAAUUGAGAAGUUGGGAUUAGUAGUGGUAACAACAGCAAGAAGGCUAAAACCUUACUUUCAGGCACACCCAAUAACCAUCCCGACGGAAUUUCCAUUGUUACAAUUGUUACAUAGACCAGAUGUGUCGGGCAGAUUAACGAAAUGGGUUGUGGAAUUAAGUGAAUUUUAUGUAAAUAUAGUACCAGCGAAAGCGAUCAAAGGGCAAGUAGUUGUUGAUUUCUUGGCAGAAUUUACACCAAGUAUAGAAAAGUCUGAAGGUUAGUGGAUCAUUCAUAUUGAUGGGUCGGCAAGCAACUCGGGAUGCGGAGCAGGCGUAACAAUCCAAACCCCAACAAAAGAAAAGGUGGAGCAUGCAAUAAAUUUCGAUUUCAAAACAACAAACAAUGAAGCAGAGUACGAGGCACUAUUAGCAGGGGCAUGACUGGGAAAAGAAUUAGGACCCAGACGGGCAAAAUUCCAUACGGAUUCACGAUUAGUGGCAAACCAAGCAACGGGGAAUUCGUAUCAAAAGAAGAAGGGAUGUGUCGGAACACAAAGGCAGCACACAACAUGAUGUAAUUUUUCACAGAAUGAGAACUACAUCACAUAAGCCGUAUGGAUAAUAAAGAAGCAGACAUUUUAGCAAGGUUGGGUGCAUCUCCAAAUGUGCCGAGGGGACAGUGGAUCCGAGUGGAACAGCAAGAGGCACCAUCAAUAACAAAAAUUGAGAGAAAUAAAAUUCUAACACUGGCAGUAGAAGAAGAUUGGAGAACACCGAUAAAAAACUACAUUACAAAGGGAAUAAUCCCGACGAACGCGAUGGAAGAAAGAAAACUGAAGAAUAAGGCAUCCUGGUUCACAAUAGCAGGGGACAAUCUUUUCCGUAGGGCAGUAGAGGAUAGCAUUCCCUUACGGAUUUGCGUAACACGCGAAGAAGGAAAAGAAAUACUAACGAGUGCACAAGGGGAGCGUGCGGUCUACACCAGGAUGCCAGGAUAUUGGGAAAGCAGGUAGCAAGGCAGGGCUACUAUUGGCCACAAAUAAAUAGAGACUCUGAAGAACUGGUAAGAAAUUGCAACGAGUGUCAAAAACAUGCAAAUAUCCAAAGAAGGCCAUCCAGCAUAAUUAAUCCAGUUACCACACCAGUACCAUUUGCCCGAUGGGGAUUGGACAUCGUAGAGCCUUUCCUAGUAGCAUCAAGGGGUCGGAAAUUUUUAUUUGCCGCGGUCGACUACUUCACCAAAUGGGCCGAAGCUGAGCCAACAAGCACAAUAUCAGAACAGAAUGUCAUUCAGUUCAUCUUUAGAAAUAUCAUCUGCAGAUUCGGGGUCCCGUUACAAAUAAUAACAGAUAAUGGAACGCAGUUCACAGGGAAAAAAGUGAGGAAAUUCUGUGAAGAUAAUGGUAUAAAAAUGAGUUUUGCUCCGGUAUAUCAUCCACAAGCAAACAGGCAAGUCGAAGUUACAAACCGGACAAUAACAUCUAUACUUAAAAGAAAAGUAGGAGACAACCCAGGAACAUGGGCAGAUUUAAUACCAGAAACAAUGUGGGCAUACAGAACAACCGUACGUACACCGACGGGACAUCCACCAUUUACUUUAGCAUUUGGAAUAGAUGCAGUGGCCCCAGCAGAGGUGAUAUGGCCAACAGCAAGAAUAGCAAAUUUUAAUCCAAAAGAUAAUAAUUUGGCCAUCUUACUAGCCAAAGAAAGGUGUGAGGAGUUGUGAGAAAUCGUAGCAAUAAGAGAUUUGACUUACAAAAGGAGGGCAGCACGAUACCAUAAUCAAAAGGUAAAUGAAAAGAAAAUAAACUUAGGAGACCUGGUACUAAGGAACGGAAGAAUCACUGGACUAGACCAAACUAAAGGAAAGUUAUCUCCAAAGUGGGAAGGGCCGUACGUAGUCAUCGAGGAGGUCCGCCCGGGAAUUUACAAGUUAGCAUUCGAGGAUGGUCAGGAAAUAGAAAGAACUUGGCACUCGGACAAUUUAUCAAGGUAUUUUCAAUAAAGCAAUUGUAUAUAGUGAACAAAAAGUUUUAGGGCAAUUUUUAUUUUAAACAAGUUAUUUUACUAAAGCAAGACCUCCCGCCAAAGUAAAAAAGCCUUAGAGCAGUAAGGCCAAAGGAGGCCUCCCUACAAAAUAAAGGCCGUAAGGAAAUAUCAACGAAAAUAAUAAAAAAAAAUUGUCAAAAAGCGCGAAUGAAUGGGUCAAAAGUACCUUAGGGCAAUUAUAAUUACACCAAGAGAACACAUAUGAGUAGACAAGAAGGACAAGGAAAGAUGAAAGGAAAGUAAAAGUUAAAACCAAAAGUACGAAACAAAAAUUCAAAGUACGGAACAAAAGGUAUGUUUCUAUUUGUUCUUUUUUUAAAAUAAAAUAUAAAACUACUGGUCUCCUUCACCUGAAAGCUCGGAGAGAGUCUUGGGCCAGGCAGGGUGUUCCGUAGGGAUUCCGUCCACUUUCCACUGCUCCCACAUUGGUGGGUUAAUAGAAACAACAGUGGACUCGUAUUCAGGACUCCGAAGAUUCACCAUGUCCCGCUCAUGAAUCAUGCCUUCAACAAAAUUUUUAAAGCAAGCACGCUUGUUUCGUUCGGUCACAGUCUUGACACGUUCGGUCACAGUCUUGACACGUUCGGUGAAUCUAACCUUGGCACUUGAAAUAUCCUUUUCCAUGGACACAAUCCGGGCGGCCUUUUCAUCCCUCUCUACCCUAAGGGUCUCGUUCUCAGCUUCCUUCAGAGUAAGUGCCUUGGUCAAGCGAGUAACUUCAUCCAAAGCGUCAUUGAGUUCACGCGUCCGUUGGACACCCCUUUUCUGCCGAUGACGCUACAUAGCCACAGUCUGAAGAGCUCGAAUGUAGCAUGCUUCAUCGAUAUCAUCAGUGUUAGUCUUUUCCAGGGUCAUCCAGUCAGCCUCCUUUUCGACCAAGGAAUCCAAUUGGCCAAGUGCCUGUUCGUAAAUCCCAGCAAUCCGGGGGGUUUGCAUGUGUUCGGCCACAAUCAAGCGGUCUCCGGGAUUUUGGCCACUGGCAACUACGUCAUCAGAGAAAUGGAUGUACUUGGUGACAUCAUCAGAAAGGGCGUUGGAAGAAUCACCGGCGUUGGAAACCGUUUCCGUACGGGCCCUCUUGCCGCCUCGCUGCGAUCCGGAUCCUGCAAACAAGCCCGACAAACCUCCCUCGUCAGGUUCGCCUGAAAAAGAAAAGAAAAAUUAACAAAAUUGGAUGUGAAUUACCAGAGGAGACGAGAUGCGGGUGAGUAGAUUUCCAAGUCCCGGUCAUCAAACUAGAAUAUUCGAUGAGACUCGAACGAACAGUUAAGAGACGGGAGUACACAUCACGUUCCUCCGGAGAAAGCUCCCCUACGGAAGAGCUCCCAGCGCUAAAGGAAGAGGUGUUUACCCACCUGGAGGGGACUCCUGACAAUCCUACAAAGGUGCUCUUUACAAAGAAAUAACGGUUUUUCCACUGGUGCGAACGAUCGGGGUAGGAGUCGAGAAGUUUAUUCCUUAUUCUAGAGGAAACUAAUAGCCGUGCGGAAUUAGGCCGAGAGAUAGAGAAAAACAAGCGAAAAACACGUUCGUAGGGCUCAAGGUGCAGUUCAUAACACAAGCGCUCAAAUGAAACAACACGGUCAAGGCUAGAGGGGGAAAGCUGAGAAAUAGCGACGCAUGUAUAUGAAAGAAAAGAUAAAAGAAAGGGAGAGGCGGGAAGCCGAAGCCUUAGGUCCUCAAAGCCGGAGUAGAGGGUAGUAUAGCUAGUGGGAGGCGAAGAGGCAAGAGCGUCGUUGGGGAUCUCAAGGUGAGCUAUCGCCACAGAGGGAGCAAUCAACUGAAAGUGACGACGGGCCUGCCGCCUACUAAGAACGGAAGGGGGAUCUUCAGAAGGAGUUAGAGAGUUACCGUUAAAGCCGGGCAUAUCGUCUAGGAAAGAAUUGAGAUCGGCCAUAGAAGAGGAUACGGCGAUCAGCGGAAGAAAAACCCUACCUCUGAUAAGAAAAAAAGUGAAGAUAAGUGAAAGUAGAUUAUAUAUAGAAGAAUUUUUGGCGGGAAAUCAAAAAUAUUCCUAGAAGGUAAAAUUUCAUACCCAAGGGCCAGAUGGACCGCACGGAAGGGUAAGUACAUUUUUGUCCAGGUGUAGUCAGUCCGGAUACUUGAGGGAGGUGUGGCAAAAUGGCCGUAGGGAAGACACCUGAAGGGAGGCAACCAUAUAUAAAAAACUAGUCCCAUCAGAAUAGGCGUCACAAGACUCUAAGGAAAAAUAGUAGAAGGAAUACCUGCUCAAAUGGCCCGUAUGGGAAACAGACGUGGGGAACCAGGUAGUCGUAAGGUCCGAAGGAAAUAAUAACACAGUCAAAAUUUGAAGGGAGUUGCCAGAUCCCUGAUCAUCAAGUAGUUACAUUCGACAAACAAAAAAAAACUACUUGAAGGAAGAAGAAAUUGUUGAGAAAAUAAAAAUUACUUCAGUGCGUAAGAUAAACACAAACGAGUUUGCAGGAAUCAUGGGAACAACUGCAGGGAACAAAAGAAACAUUCAAAUACAUAAAAAAAAGAGGGGUGGACACAAGGCCCCCCGGGAAAAGAAUAUCAAAGAAGCCCGUCAGGGCGGGCCGCGGGAGAGGAAAUGACGUAGGUCACUUGAAGGAAGGCCAGAGCGUUCGGCACGUGGUCCACGUCCCCGACGACGACGAGCAGCAGGUACGGAAGAACGCCCAGUUGAAAAAAGCUCAGUAGCGGCAGUUGCAGGGACCUCGUUGGGGGGGGAGCAGUUGCGGGAAUCACGCCAGGGACAACAGCAGGGACAGGAAGCCCGGGAGGAGCACCAGUGGCAGGUUGACGGUUUCUUGGAGCGGUUGUCAUCGCUGGAAUGACGAUACCGGUUCCGUUGGAGACUUGCCAGAGAGCACGAAUGCGGUGUUGGACCUCCGAAACCAAAUGAGACAGACGGGGAUUACCUACAGCAAAAUCCUGGAUAUCACAAAGGUGUUGAAGAAGAUCAUCUGGCCAAACAGCUCGCUGACGCGCCAACUCAGAUCCUAGUUCCUCCAACAGAUCAUCAAGAAAAGACAUGAUAAAUGAGGAGAAAAUGAAUCAAAUAAAAAAAAGCAACCUAUUUAUAGGAUAGGAGGAGGGGGGAGUACUGAUGGUACCCCCAAUCCAUCAGCCCAGGCCCACGAAGGAGUCCAGAAGCAAGGCCCAGCGAAGUGAACAAAAGAGGAAGAUCCAAGUCGCCUCACGGGCACUCGCCCGACCGGGCGGACCUGUCAGCCCGAACGGUUAUCUCUCCAAAGGUUGCGCCCUAAGUAUGUCGGGUCCUUUAGACCAGAUCCUAGUCCGAAAGCGUAGGGUCCAGAGUCCGGUAGGAAAUUGUAUAAAUACCACUAAGGGUGAAGUGUAAAAGGGAGGAGAAAAACAAUUGUUAUUAUACUUGUAAUAUACGAGAUCAGUCACCUUUCUAGAGGGACGCGAUCAAAUCCUAAAAGUGGUAGCAGAAGAAACAAGGAUGGUGACACGAGAUCUCGUAGAGAUCACACCAUCAGAAAAAAGAGCUUCCCAGAGCGCCUAGAAUGGCAGUGGAAGAUGCGCCGAUGGUAGCACGGGAUCUCGUUGAGAUUGCACCAUCAGCAAGAAAAAACUCCACGGAGCACCUAGUAUUGCAGCGGGAGAAGAGCUAGUGGAGACAUAGAGGCACGAAUAGCCACACAACUAGCAGGGCAACCCCCGAAGGAGUACAAGUGUCGAAAGAAGAAGAAGUACUGAUGAUACGAGAUCUUGCAUUCAGAUCAUCAAUACUUCUUUCGAUGUUCGAGAAGCUUAGUAUUAUGGAGAUAAGAUGUGUAAUAUGGAUAUUGUGGAACUACCAUCCCCGGCCCCAAGCCUCGAUCGAUGGGGACACCAUUUGAUUACGAUGAUAAAUUCGCUUCUAUAAUGUUAGAAUUACUAUACUUUAUUGAUGCAGCCGACCAAGCCCACUAAUAUACUUGGACUCUUAGUGUGGAAUUUCCACUCAUACACCCUAAGAGUAUAAAUGGGAGUACGUGGAUGGGCAGAUGGACAGUUAGUUGAGAUUUAACCUAAAAAUUAAAAGGUGAUCUCCAACUCUUAUUUCUCUCUUUCUUCUACUUUAUUUCGUGAAUAAUUAAUACUACUGUUACAUCGAUUAUUUCCUGGAUUGGAAAUAACGAGUAUUGAAAUUGAUUAUUCCGGUGGAUUCCAGGAAUAAUCAAUCUGGAAAACGUUCUCAAUCACUGUCCGAUUCAAAACUGUUUCUUUUAUUCCCGUUAAGCUCUACGUACAUAAUUUAUUUAGGGAUUAGAUUAUCCAAUUUAUCAUUUUUGCAUCAUGACCAAACUCAUAUGAUGAGUAAAGCUCAAUAUAUACACAAGAUUACCAAAGUUCAUUAUCAUUCAAUUAUGUUAAUAUCUCAAUAUUAUUGUAAUUAAAUAUAUUUUUGACCCAUAAUUUCAACACUAUAGACAUAAGUAUUGAUGAUGUAUGGCCAGAAAUGAGCCUAUACAAUUGGAUUAAGAUUCAGUCCCUCUCUCUCUCUCUCACUCUCUCUCUCUCUCUAGUAUAUAGUACAUGUAUUCAAUGUAACGUGUCUUCCCCCUUUUUAGAAGGUUGGUAUUAAUAGACCUUCUACUAUUCAUAGGGUCUAGUCUGGCCUUGAUGUUCCUGGACCACUCUAGGACAUGUCGGGCCGGGAAUGGGUCGACGGCGGACCUGGGGAUAUUCCUGGGCCGCUCUAUCAGGUCGGGUUGGGGUUUGGAAAUGACGAAUCUUAGGAUGCUCUGAGAGGCUGCUCUGGCAGGUAGGAGACAUCAUUCUUGCUCAGUCCGAUAAGCCUGAUCCGUUGAUAUUCUCGUUGGGCCACUCUAGUGGGCCGAGGAUAUCAUCAAGUACAUAGGUAUACUUCAGAUUUCAAAAAUCCUGAAGUCAUUUUACUUAAAUCUAUCUUUUUUUGAUAAACCCAAGAUUCUGUCACUCUCAAUUAUAUAUAUACAUAAUUUCUUUGAUCAGUUCAAGAAACGACUCAACAAAAACUUAUACUAAAUUAGGGAAAACUCCUUAUAGUUUUUUAACUCUAACGCUAACCCCAUUGUAUAUUAUAUUUUUAAUAACAGAAAUAAACCAUAUGUUAGAUAGACAGCUAGUCCUAUGUAAUGUGAAAGAUUUUAACAAAUAUAACUGGGUUUUUUUUUAUGUACCCAUUUUCAAUAAAUCAAAUGCAUGAAGUAUUACAAAUUUAAAAAUACUUUUCUUAAAUCCUUAAUGAAAUUUUUAUGGAUAAAAUCGAAAAUACCUUGUUGAUUUAUUGAAGCUGAAAAUUGAGAAGAUCGACAGUGGAGAAAAACUAAAAUAUACACGAGCUUGUGGUUGGUUGCUGAAACACAAACUGGCGCAAAUAAUAAUAUGCUCAAAAACUGAAUUGAGGAGAAGUUUAUUUCCCAGAAAAUUAGGCACCUCCAGACUAAAGCUUGAACCCUACCUCAACUUCAAUAACAACAAACAGAUGAAAAUAGCCAGAUGGGUAGGUAAGUAGGUUACCUUAUCCAUUGUUUGAUGAUGAAAUUUAGCAUAAACAAUUGUACUGAAUUUGUAGUGGGUAAAGAAUACUGAGUUGUAGUUAAAUAAAUGCACUAAAACUUAGGGAAGGUGGAGCCAUCCACAUAUCAUGCGUACUAAUUGAUUCUUGAUAAUAAGAAAUUUAGGGUUGAAAUAAAAAUCAAAGUAAUUGCAGGCAUGAAGAGAACUAGAGUUAUUGAAAAUAUUUAAUAUGUUUGGUGCUCCACGAGAGAAUAUUUGUGCAGACGAAUAAUUUCUUAUUAAUAUGUUUGGUGCUCGUGGAUCAAGGUGUACUUCGUCUAUUUAUAGAGAGAAUAAUUUCAAGAAAAAAUACAAUGGCAUCUAAAAUCCAAAUAGAUGAUAUCGAGUUGGGCGAACAUUCUCCAUCCCAAAUUCAGAUGGCUCAGGAGGAAGAGGCUCCUACAAACCUUGUUGCGUCGAAAAUGAUAAGCGGGGAGAUUAAGGAGGAGAAGCUAGUAUCGAAUGAGCUUAUCACAAAUGAUGUUGAUAUCGAGUUGGGCGAAUGUCCAUCUUGAACAUUCUCAAUCCGAAAUUCAAAUGGCUGAGGAGGAAGAGGCUCUUACAUACCUUGUUGCGCCAGAAGUUAUAAGCGGAGAGAUUAAGGAGGAGAAGUUAGUAUCGAAUGAGCUUAUCACAAAUGAUGCUGAUAUCGAGUUGGGCGAAUUUUCAUCAGACGUUCAACAUUCUCAAUCCGAAAUUCAAAUGGUUGAGGAGAAAGAGGCUGCUACAAAUCUUGUUGCGUCGAAAAUAAGCGGGGAGAUUAAGGAGGAGAAACUAGUAUCGAAUGAUGUGGUUGCUUCCAUAGUGAAUGAGCUUAUCACAAAUGAUGCUGAUAUCAACUACAUUGAAAAAUUACGAUCAACCGAGACGGUGACCAUGUGUAGAGUUCCGGAAGAGAUCGUUGGAGCUGAUGAUAAUGAUCGUGCUCAUUUUAAGCCCAAAGUUAUUUCCAUCGGCCCGUACCACUCUAAGAACGAAGCAUUCUAUCCCAUGCAAAGUCUCAAGCUCCAAUACCUCAAUGACCUGCUUCGACGAUCGAAAACCAAGAACAACAAAGUUGAAAAGUACACCAAGGCGAUCGAAAACCAGUUGGUUACUGAAAAAGCCAAGUACUGUGAGUUUGCUGCUUGUGGAAUCUCAGAUGCAGAGUUCUUGAAAUUGCUGGUGUUGGACGGUUGUUUCAUUGUGGAGUUUUUGUUGAAGUACGCUGAACCAUUCCGACGGCGAAAGAUUGCAACUAUGCUGGGAUCGAUAAGGUUUGAGAAAAAUGAGUGUCCGUACAAUAUGUUCUUUGACGCCAUAACGAUGUACAAUGGAAUGAAGGAGAUAAAUGCCAACUUCUUCACCGAGUUUGAGAACAUGUUGUUUUACGAACAAAUUAAUAUAUGGCUUCAAAAUAACGGAGAGGGAGUCGGAGAUUGGUUGGAUAGAUAAUUUUGACAUAUAUAUUUAUUCCGGAAAAUAUCAAAAAAAAUACAUAGAAAUAUUUUAAGAUUAUCAAGAAGACCCGACAGUAUUUCCAGCUACGCAGUGUACAUGAGUCAUUUUGUGAAAACAGAUGAGGAUGUAGAGGUGCUGAAACUUUACCGAAUGCUGAGAACGACCACCCAUGGACCGAAGGAAAUAGCGGAAUUCUUUGGGAAGCGCAGACCAUGGUUGCUGUUACAUGAAAAUGAGGUGAAAUUUCUUACUACACAGUUCGAAGCUAUCAACAGUUUUGUCAAUCGACCACUCAACAUAAGGAUCGCCAAACUAAAGAAGCGUUACUUCAAAAAGCCAGUAAUCAUAUUUUCUUUCAUUGACGUCAUAUUUCUUGUCGGUUUGGAUGUUGCGCAAAUCGUUUUAGAGGUAAUAAAAUAAAUAUCAAUGUACCUUUUAUUACAGUUGUGUGAAUAUUAUAUGUGUCAAGUUUAUUUUAAUUAUUAAAUCGAUUUUACGUCGUACAUACGUUAUUGUCUUAUACAUUCUAUUAUUUUAAUUAUUAGAUUAAAUAAUACUGAUUAUAAUUUGAUGACACACAACUACGCAUUCAAAGUUUGACACACCUGAAUAUUUCCGCGUAAAUAAACUAUAAAUUGUAAUGCUUAAUUUCAUCAUUAAAGUUUUUUUCUUACCUAAUUUAACAUUUUCAUUUAUUACACGACUCGAUUUAGUUCAGUUGUCAUUUUAAUUUUUAUCUUACACUAAAAAUCUGAUAAUAAACAAGAGCUUCAGAGGAAAAUAUCCACUCAUUCCAGCGAAGUGGGUACCGUCUUCAAUCCAAUCAUGUGUUCGGUGAUCUGUCUGCAAUCUAUCCUCGUCAUCUUCCACUACAUUCUACCAUUUAUUAAUUGUUCUGCGCACACAAUUCAGCAAAAAGGAGAAAAAACACAGACAUGACCAUGGCAAUGGCAAUGGGGAGCACACUUAUCAUUCUCGUCCUUCUGAUUUCCGCCGUCGAAGCUGGCAGCAAUUCGUCGACCGAGGGCGUUUACUCGGAGCUCCUUGCAGGAGGACGGUGUACCGGAAAAGUGGGAGAGUGCAAUGUACAAGAGACGGAAUGGGUUGUGGACUCUGAAAUCACCCGGAGAUUACUGAAAAGAAAAGAUAGAUAUAUUAGUAGCAUCGCUGUAAGAAAUAGUGGUAGUAGUGUAUUGAAGAGUAAACGAACACAUUCUUAUACAUGUGCCGGAACUUACAGAUGUAAACCCCAUCAUUAGAUCUGUAAUUCAAAUUUCGACAUGAUUCAUCUACAAUUAAAAUUGACAGACUGAUUCUCUGUGACACAAAAUGCCAAUUUAAAAGUUUAAAAUUGACAAACUUGAUAAUUGAUACCUGUCAGAGCUUCACCUUCCCGCUGGGCAUUGUUGCCUGUACUCGACGGAAGAAGGUCGUUUAGAGGUUUGAUUGGAGACAUACGUCAAAUUAAUAUUACUAUUGUUUGCGACAUAAAAUCUAUAGGUCUGUUUAAUCACUGUAAUGAUGAUUUUUUU
This 25067-nucleotide long non-coding RNA is filed under the name Zostera marina. RNAcentral's name for it is "long non-coding RNA (ZMAR_LNC000140)". Lineage: Eukaryota; Viridiplantae; Streptophyta; Magnoliopsida; Alismatales; Zosteraceae. The record is from RNAcentral.